GAAGGGCGCUGUGUGAACAAAGUCCUGCCUUGUGAUCUUCCCCUUCUCUUCCCCAUCUUCCCCUUCUCUUCCCUUAGACUCAGUUCCUCUCUGCCCAAACAUCCUUUUGUCCCACUCUGGGACUCAAGGAGCCGUGCAAAUGGGAAAGAACCAGCUCUGGGUCAGCAGUGGGCUUGCUCAGAGCCACUGACAGCUCCCUGCCGGUGGGGCUGGCUCCAGGGGUGGGAGCUGAAGACAGACCGUGGCGUCUGCCCACUUCUGAGGGCAGCAGCCCAGCUCCUCGUGGCUCAGCAGCAGAAAAAUCAAUAUCUACCGCCACCAGAAGUGGAGUAGGGAGCAGCAGGACAAAAGGCUACACUUCAGCUGAGCAGCAGGGUCACUUGUGUGACCCCGGAGUUCUCACACCUAUUUCUCUCUCAUGAAAAUAAUCCUGGGUGGAAACAGCAAAUUUCAUCAGCUACUACAGUGAUUUUCAGCAAAGGAAGAAUCUGAAAUGUUCUGGCUGUCUGGAGAAUCCAUAACUGGAAUACAG
Molecule: long non-coding RNA, 532 nt
Organism: Cavia porcellus (domestic guinea pig)
Lineage: Eukaryota; Metazoa; Chordata; Mammalia; Rodentia; Caviidae
Exons: 4
Source: RefSeq, a predicted model, not a curated record